GCGCCGGCUAACUACGUGCCAGCAGCCGCGGUAAUACGUAGGGCGCAAGCGUUGUCCGGAAUUAUUGGGCGUAAAGAGCUUGUAGGUGGCUUGUCGCGUCUGCCGUGAAACCCAAGGCUUAACUUUGGGCGUGCGGUGGGUACGGGCUGGCUAGAGUGUGGUAGGGGAGACUGGAAUUCCUGGUGUAGCGGUGAAAUGCGCAGAUAUCAGGAGGAACACCGAUGGCGAAGGCAGGUCUCUGGGCCAUGACUGACACUGAGAAGCGAAAGCAUGGGGAGCGAACAGGAUUAGAUACCCUGGUAGUCCAUGCCGUAAACGUUGGGCACUAGGUGUGGGGGACAUUCCACGUUUUCCGCGCCGUAGCUAACGCAUUAAGUGCCCCGCCUGGGGAGUACGGCCGCA
Molecule: ribosomal RNA, 402 nt
Filed under: uncultured bacterium
Lineage: Bacteria
Description: bacterial SSU rRNA
Rfam family: Bacterial small subunit ribosomal RNA
Source: RNAcentral